UGCCGGAUCGUCUAACGGUAGGACAACGGGUUCUGGACCCGUUUAUCUAGGUUCGAAUCCUAGUCCGGCAGCCA
RNAcentral lists this transfer RNA (74 nucleotides) under Candidatus Curtissbacteria bacterium RIFCSPLOWO2_01_FULL_37_9. RNAcentral's name for it is "tRNA-Gln". It matches the Rfam family "tRNA". Rfam says of the family: Transfer RNA (tRNA) molecules are approximately 80 nucleotides in length. Their secondary structure includes four short double-helical elements and three loops (D, anti-codon, and T loops). Further hydrogen bonds mediate the characteristic L-shaped molecular structure. tRNAs have two regions of fundamental functional importance: the anti-codon, which is responsible for specific mRNA codon recognition, and the 3' end, to which the tRNAs corresponding amino acid is attached (by aminoacyl-tRNA synthetases). tRNAs cope with the degeneracy of the genetic code in two manners: having more than one tRNA (with a specific anti-codon) for a particular amino acid; and 'wobble' base-pairing, i.e. permitting non-standard base-pairing at the 3rd anti-codon position. Lineage: Bacteria; Candidatus Curtissiibacteriota. The record is from RNAcentral.